GCAAUCCGCAAGUAGAGUGGCGAACGGGUGAGUAAUAUAUCGGAACAUUUCCAGUAGCGGGGGAUAACCUGUCGAAAGAUAGGCUAAUACCGCAUACGCCCCACGGGGGAAAGCGGAGGACCGCAAGGCUUCGCACUAUUGGAGUGGCCGAUAUCGGAUUAGCUAGUUGGCGGGGUAAAAGCCCACCAAGGCGACGAUCCGUAGCUGGUCUGAGAGGACGAUCAGCCACACUGGAACUGAGACACGGUCCAGACUCCUACGGGAGGCAGCAGUGGGGAAUUUUGGACAAUGGGCGAAAGCCUGAUCCAGCCAUGCCGCGUGAGUGAAGAAGGCCUUCGGGUUGUAAAGCUCUUUCGGUGGGGAAGAAAAGGUACGUGCUAAUACCACGGACUAAUGACGGUACCCGAAGAAGAAGCACCGGCUAACUACGUGCCAGCAGCCGCGGUAAUACGUAGGGUGCGAGCGUUAAUCGGAAUUACUGGGCGUAAAGCGUGCGCAGGCGGUUUGUUAAGACAGAUGUGAAAUCCCCGGGCUUAACCUGGGAACUGCGUUUGUAACUGGCAAGCUAGAGUGUGGCAGAGGGGGGUAGAAUUCCAGGUGUAGCAGUGAAAUGCGUAGAUAUCUGGAGGAAUACCGAUGGCGAAGGCAGCCCCCUGGGUUAACACUGACGCUCAUGCACGAAAGCGUGGGGAGCAAACAGGAUUAGAUACCCUGGUAGUCCACGCCCUAAACUAUGUCAACUGGUUGUCGGGGGAGCAAUCCCUUGGUAACGAAGCUAACGCGUGAAGUUGACCGCCUGGGGAGUACGGCCGCAAGGUUAAAACUCAAAGGAAUUGACGGGGACCGCACAAGCGGUGGAUUAUGUGGAUUAAUUCGAUGCAACGCGAAAACCUUACCUACCCUUGACAUGUACGGAAGUCGCUAGAGAUAGCUUCGUGCUCGAAAGAGAGCCGUAACACAGUGCUGCAUGGCUGUCGU
This 978-nucleotide ribosomal RNA is filed under the name uncultured bacterium. Its description in RNAcentral is "bacterial SSU rRNA". It matches the Rfam family "Bacterial small subunit ribosomal RNA", at positions 79 to 1055 of the family's 1533-position model. The record is from RNAcentral.